This 519-nucleotide ribosomal RNA is filed under the name uncultured Glomus. RNAcentral's name for it is "SSU rRNA". It matches the Rfam family "Eukaryotic small subunit ribosomal RNA", at positions 569 to 1089 of the family's 1831-position model. The record is from RNAcentral. Lineage: Eukaryota; Fungi; Glomeromycota; Glomeromycetes; Glomerales; Glomeraceae.
AGCAGCCGCGGUAAUUCCAGCUCCAAUAGCGUAUAUUAAAGUUGUUGCAGUUAAAAAGCUCGUAGUUGAAUUUCGGGGUCAAUACGUCGGUCGUGCCUCUGGUAUGUACUGGUGUUAUUGAUUCCUCCUUUCUGAUGAACCAUGAUGUCAUUAAUUUGGUGUUGUGGGGAGUCAGGACUGUUACUUUGAAAAAAUUAGAGUGUUUAAAGCAGGCUCACGCUUGAAUACAUUAGCAUGGAAUAAUGAAAUAGGACGUUCGAACCUAUUUUGUUGGUUUCUAGGAUCAACGUAAUGAUUAAUAGGGAUAGUUGGGGGCAUUAGUAUUCAAUUGUCAGAGGUGAAAUUCUUGGAUUUAUUGAAGACUAACUACUGCGAAAGCAUUUGCCAAGGAUGUUUUCAUUAAUCAAGAACGAAAGUUAGGGGAUCGAAGACGAUCAGAUACCGUCGUAGUCUUAACCAUAAACUAUGCCGACUAGGGAUCGGAUGAUGUUAAUUUUUAAUGUACUCAUUCGGCGUCCG